CCUUACCUACUCUUGACAUCCAGAGAACUUUCCAGAGAUGGAUUGGUGCCUUCGGGAACUCUGAGACAGGUGCUGCAUGGCUGUCGUCAGCUCGUGUUGUGAAAUGUUGGGUUAAGUCCCGCAACGAGCGCAACCCUUAUCCUUGUUUGCCAGCACUUCGGGUGGGAACUCCAGGGAGACUGCCGGUGAUAAACCGGAGGAAGGUGGGGACGACGUCAAGUCAUCAUGGCCCUUACGAGUAGGGCUACACACGUGCUACAAUGGCGCAUACAGAGGGCGGCCAACUUGCGAGAGUGAGCGAAUCCCAAAAAGUGCGUCGUAGUCCGGAUCGGAGUCUGCAACUCGACUCCGUGAAGUCGGAAUCGCUAGUAAUCG
RNAcentral lists this ribosomal RNA (375 nucleotides) under Vibrio sp. Shant 36. Its description in RNAcentral is "bacterial SSU rRNA". It matches the Rfam family "Bacterial small subunit ribosomal RNA", at positions 969 to 1344 of the family's 1533-position model. Lineage: Bacteria; Pseudomonadati; Pseudomonadota; Gammaproteobacteria; Vibrionales; Vibrionaceae. The record is from RNAcentral.